Molecule: transfer RNA, 88 nt
Filed under: Desulfobacteraceae bacterium 4572_88
Lineage: Bacteria; Pseudomonadati; Thermodesulfobacteriota; Desulfobacteria; Desulfobacterales; Desulfobacteraceae
Description: tRNA-Ser
Rfam family: tRNA
About the family: Transfer RNA (tRNA) molecules are approximately 80 nucleotides in length. Their secondary structure includes four short double-helical elements and three loops (D, anti-codon, and T loops).
Source: RNAcentral
GGAGGGAUGGCCGAGUGGUUUAAGGCGGUGGUCUUGAAAACCAUUGAGCUUCACGGCUCCGUGGGUUCGAAUCCUACUCCCUCCGCCA